RNAcentral lists this ribosomal RNA (1374 nucleotides) under uncultured bacterium. Its description in RNAcentral is "bacterial SSU rRNA". It matches the Rfam family "Bacterial small subunit ribosomal RNA", at positions 28 to 1381 of the family's 1533-position model. The record is from RNAcentral.
GAUGAACGCUGGCGGCGUGCCUAAUACAUGCAAGUCGAGCGAACGGACGAGAAGCUUGCUUCUCUGAUGUUAGCGGCGGACGGGUGAGUAACACGUGGAUAACCUACCUAUAAGACUGGGAUAACUUCGGGAAACCGGAGCUAAUACCGGAUGAUAUUUUGAACCGCAUGGUUCAAAAGUGAAAGACGGUCUUGCUGUCACUUAUAGAUGGAUCCGCGCUGCAUUAGCUAGUUGGUAAGGUAACGGCUUACCAAGGCAACGAUGCAUAGCCGACCUGAGAGGGUGAUCGGCCACACUGGAACUGAGACACGGUCCAGACUCCUACGGGAGGCAGCAGUAGGGAAUCUUCCGCAAUGGGCGAAAGCCUGACGGAGCAACGCCGCGUGAGUGAUGAAGGUCUUCGGAUCGUAAAACUCUGUUAUUAGGGAAGAACAUAUGUGUAAGUAACUGUGCACAUCUUGACGGUACCUAAUCAGAAAGCCACGGCUAACUACGUGCCAGCAGCCGCGGUAAUACGUAGGUGGCAAGCGUUAUCCGGAAUUAUUGGGCGUAAAGCGCGCGUAGGCGGUUUUUUAAGUCUGAUGUGAAAGCCCACGGCUCAACCGUGGAGGGUCAUUGGAAACUGGAAAACUUGAGUGCAGAAGAGGAAAGUGGAAUUCCAUGUGUAGCGGUGAAAUGCGCAGAGAUAUGGAGGAACACCAGUGGCGAAGGCGACUUUCUGGUCUGUAACUGACGCUGAUGUGCGAAAGCGUGGGGAUCAAACAGGAUUAGAUACCCUGGUAGUCCACGCCGUAAACGAUGAGUGCUAAGUGUUAGGGGGUUUCCGCCCCUUAGUGCUGCAGCUAACGCAUUAAGCACUCCGCCUGGGGAGUACGACCGCAAGGUUGAAACUCAAAGGAAUUGACGGGGACCCGCACAAGCGGUGGAGCAUGUGGUUUAAUUCGAAGCAACGCGAAGAACCUUACCAAAUCUUGACAUCCUUUGACAACUCUAGAGAUAGAGCCUUCCCCUUCGGGGGGGACAAAGUGACAGGUGGUGCAUGGUUGUCGUCAGCUCGUGUCGUGAGAUGUUGGGUUAAGUCCCGCAACGAGCGCAACCCUUAAGCUUAGUUGCCAUCAUUAAGUUGGGCACUCUAAGUUGGCUGCCGGUGACAAACCGGAGGAAGGUGGGGAUGACGUCAAAUCAUCAUGCCCCUUAUGAUUUGGGCUACACACGUGCUACAAUGGACAAUACAAAGGGCAGCGAAACCGCGAGGCCAAGCAAAUCCCAUAAAGUUGUUCUCAGUUCGGAUUGUAGUCUGCAACUCGACUACAUGAAGCUGGAAUCGCUAGUAAUCGUAGAUCAGCAUGCUACGGUGAAUACGUUCCCGGGUCU